RNAcentral lists this ribosomal RNA (435 nucleotides) under uncultured bacterium. RNAcentral describes it as "partial 16S ribosomal RNA". It matches the Rfam family "Bacterial small subunit ribosomal RNA", at positions 29 to 507 of the family's 1533-position model. The record is from RNAcentral.
AGCGAACGCUGGCGGCAGGCUUAACACAUGCAAGUCGAGCGGGCAUCUUCGGAUGUCAGCGGCAGACGGGUGAGUAACACGUGGGAACGUACCCUUCGGUUCGGAACAACUCUGGGAAACUGGAGCUAAUACCGGAUACGCCCUUAUGGGGAAAGGUUUACUGCCGAAGGAUCGGCCCGCGUCUGAUUAGCUAGUUGGUGGGGUAACGGCCUACCAAGGCGACGAUCAGUAGCUGGUCUGAGAGGAUGAUCAGCCACACUGGGACUGAGACACGGCCCAGACUCCUACGGGAGGCAGCAGUGGGGAAUAUUGGACAAUGGGCGCAAGCAUGAUCCAGCCAUGCCGCGUGAGUGAUGAAGGCCUUAGGGUUGUAAAGCUCUUUUGUCCGGGACGAUAAUGACGGUACCGGAAGAAUAAGCCCCGGCUAACUUCGUG